RNAcentral lists this transfer RNA (85 nucleotides) under Candidatus Magasanikbacteria bacterium CG1_02_32_51. RNAcentral's name for it is "tRNA-Leu". It matches the Rfam family "tRNA". From Rfam's summary of the family: Transfer RNA (tRNA) molecules are approximately 80 nucleotides in length. Their secondary structure includes four short double-helical elements and three loops (D, anti-codon, and T loops). RNAcentral also lists the same sequence under 1 other name. The record is from RNAcentral. Lineage: Bacteria; Candidatus Magasanikiibacteriota.
GCCCAGAUGGCGGAAUUGGUAGACGCGCACGACUCAAAAUCGUGUUCCUUCGGGAGUGAGAGUUCGAUUCUCUCUCCGGGCACAA